UGAAGCUUCGCUUGAGGGAAAAGACAUCCUUGACAUAAACCAUCCUGUUGGUCCUUUUAGAACUAAGGUGGUGCCUAGGUUAAAUUACCAGCAUGUAAUGAGAUACUCAACGACUGUACCCAAUGAACCUGAUACCCACGACGAUUUCAAACCUACUAAUAAACUUGAGAGUUCUGGCCUUUCUUUGAGGGAUGUUGUUGAACAG
Molecule: unclassified non-coding RNA, 205 nt
Filed under: Hevea brasiliensis (rubber tree)
Lineage: Eukaryota; Viridiplantae; Streptophyta; Magnoliopsida; Malpighiales; Euphorbiaceae
Source: RNAcentral